GGAGAGAUGCCGGAGUGGUCGAACGGGGCGGUCUCGAAAACCGUUGUGUGCGCAAGCAUACCCAGGGUUCGAAUCCCUGUCUCUCCGCCA
RNAcentral lists this transfer RNA (90 nucleotides) under Hyphomicrobiales bacterium. RNAcentral's name for it is "tRNA-Ser". It matches the Rfam family "tRNA". Rfam says of the family: Transfer RNA (tRNA) molecules are approximately 80 nucleotides in length. Their secondary structure includes four short double-helical elements and three loops (D, anti-codon, and T loops). Further hydrogen bonds mediate the characteristic L-shaped molecular structure. tRNAs have two regions of fundamental functional importance: the anti-codon, which is responsible for specific mRNA codon recognition, and the 3' end, to which the tRNAs corresponding amino acid is attached (by aminoacyl-tRNA synthetases). tRNAs cope with the degeneracy of the genetic code in two manners: having more than one tRNA (with a specific anti-codon) for a particular amino acid; and 'wobble' base-pairing, i.e. permitting non-standard base-pairing at the 3rd anti-codon position. Lineage: Bacteria; Pseudomonadati; Pseudomonadota; Alphaproteobacteria; Hyphomicrobiales. The record is from RNAcentral.